Molecule: ribosomal RNA, 520 nt
Filed under: uncultured Glomus
Lineage: Eukaryota; Fungi; Glomeromycota; Glomeromycetes; Glomerales; Glomeraceae
Description: SSU rRNA
Rfam family: Eukaryotic small subunit ribosomal RNA
Source: RNAcentral
AGCAGCCGCGGUAAUUCCAGCUCCAAUAGCGUAUAUUAAAGUUGUUGCAGUUAAAAAGCUCGUAGUUGAAUUUCGGGAUCAAGGCGUCGGUCGUGCUUCGGUACGUACUGGCGUCAUUGAUUUCUCCCUUCUGACGAACCAUGAUGCCAUUAACUUGGUGUUAUGGGAAAUCAGGACUGUUACUUUGAAAAAAUUAGAGUGUUUAAAGCAGGCUAACGCUUGAAUACAUUAGCAUGGAAUAAUGAAAUAGGACGUUCGAUCCUAUUUUGUUGGUUUCUAGGAUUGACGUAAUGAUUAAUAGGGAUAGUUGGGGGCAUUAGUACUCAAUUGUCAGAGGUGAAAUUCUUGGAUUUAUUGAAGACUAACUACUGCGAAAGCAUUUGCCAAGGAUGUUUUCAUUAAUCAAGAACGAAAGUUAGGGGAUCGAAGACGAUCAGAUACCGUCGUAGUCUUUAACCAUAAACUAUGCCGACUAGGGAUCGGAUGAUGUUAAUUUUUAAUACGAUCAUUCGGNGCCUUA